This is a long non-coding RNA of Saccostrea echinata, 240 nucleotides long. RefSeq lists it as uncharacterized. Lineage: Eukaryota; Metazoa; Mollusca; Bivalvia; Ostreida; Ostreidae. The record is from RefSeq and is a predicted model, not a curated record. The transcript has 3 exons.
UGGUUCCGCAGAAGGAGCAGACCGUAACCUGCCGACCGGAGUUCAACGAUGGACUGCGGCCAAUCCAAGACGCGAGGGUGGAAGCUUAGGCUGUGCCGGAUGUAGAGGUGAAGAGGAAAGCAUCAGACAGAAGAAGAGUCCACUGCGGGCAACCCCCUGAAGUGAGGAGGAGGAGAUGAAGGCUGAGCAGCAUCCCACAGUGAGAGAGAGUGUCUUCAGUGCAACUGCAGCUGUCACCGG